RNAcentral lists this ribosomal RNA (949 nucleotides) under uncultured bacterium. RNAcentral's name for it is "bacterial SSU rRNA". It matches the Rfam family "Bacterial small subunit ribosomal RNA", at positions 1 to 917 of the family's 1533-position model. RNAcentral also lists the same sequence under 1 other name. The record is from RNAcentral.
UGGAUCCAGACUUUGAUUCUGGCUCAGGACGAACGCUGGCGGCGUGCCUAAUACAUGCAAGUCGAACGAAGCUUUCUUUCACCGAAUGCUUGCAUUCACCGAAAGAAGCUUAGUGGCGAACGGGUGAGUAACACGUAGGCAACCUGCCCAAAAGAGGGGGAUAACACUUGGAAACAGGUGCUAAUACCGCAUAACCAUGAACACCGCAUGAUGUUCAUGUAAAAGACGGCUUUUGCUGUCACUUUUGGAUGGGCCUGCGGCGUAUUAACCUGUUGGUGGGGUAACGGCCUACCAAGGUGAUGAUACGUAGCCGAACUGAGAGGUUGAUCGGCCACAUUGGGACUGAGACACGGCCCAAACUCCUACGGGAGGCAGCAGUAGGGAAUCUUCCACAAUGGACGAAAGUCUGAUGGAGCAACGCCGCGUGAAUGAAGAAGGCCUUCGGGUCGUAAAAUUCUGUUGUCAGAGAAGAACGUGCGUGAGAGUAACUGUUCACGUAUUGACGGUAUCUGACCGGAAAGCCACGGCUAACUACGUGCCAGCAGCCGCGGUAAUACGUAGGUGGCAAGCGUUGUCCGGAUUUAUUGGGCGUAAAGGGAACGCAGGCGGUCUUUUAAGUCUGAUGUGAAAGCCUUCGGCUUAACCGAAGUAGUGCAUUGGAAACUGGAAGACUUGAGUGCAGAAGAGGAGAGUGGAACUCCAUGUGUAGCGGUGAAAUGCGUAGAUAUAUGGAAGAACACCAGUGGCGAAAGCGGCUCUCUGGUCUGUAACUGACGCUGAGGUUCGAAAGCGUGGGUAGCAAACAGGAUUAGAUACCCUGGUAGUCCACGCCGUAAACGAUGAGUGCUAAGUGUUGGAGGGUUUCCGCCCUUCAGUGCUGCAGCUAACGCAUUGAGCACUCCGCCUGGGGAGUACGGUCGCAAGACUGCAACUCAAAUGAAUUGACGGA